This 239-nucleotide ribosomal RNA is filed under the name uncultured bacterium. RNAcentral's name for it is "partial 16S ribosomal RNA". It matches the Rfam family "Bacterial small subunit ribosomal RNA", at positions 102 to 334 of the family's 1533-position model. The record is from RNAcentral.
CCGGCGACGGGUGAGUAACGCGUAUGCAACUUGCCUAUCAGAGGGGGAUAACCCGGCGAAAGUCGGACUAAUACCGCAUGAAGCAGGGGCCCCGCAUGGGGAUAUUUGCUAAAGAUUCAUCGCUGAUAGAUAGGCAUGCGUUCCAUUAGGCAGUUGGCGGGGUAACGGCCCACCAAACCGACGAUGGAUAGGGGUUCUGAGAGGAAGGUCCCCCACAUUGGUACUGAGACACGGACCAA